GCCCCCGGCCACGGCGCUCGGCGCUCGGCGGGCACUGCGGGCGGCGCGCACGGCGCAGGACGCGGCUCCCCUCCCCUUCGGCCGCUCCGCCCCCGCCCCCGCCCCGCCCUCCCGAAGACCGAGGGGGUUCUCCCCACUGGUGGGGUCGGACACGCGGGGCAGCUGCCCUCGGCCAUAAGACCAAGAGGCAGGGGCAUCUGGGGGUUAGGAUGGUCCAGGUCAGCUCGGUGGGAUCUGGGCGAGUCCCAGAAUCCCUCCAGGCCUCGGUUUCCUGCUCUGCACAGGGGGCCAAUUGAUCAGACCUACCUUGGACGGUGCCAGCAAGGGCCAAGUGACAAGGACCAAGUGAUGGCUGCAUAGACAGAACAGGGCACCCACACCAGACAGCUUCUGGAGAGUCCACUGGGGGAAGCCCUGCUGAGACCCGGGUCCGCUGUGGUCACAGCUGCGACCGACGCAGGAAGUACACGGCAGGGGCACCUGGGCGCAGCUGGGCAGCAGUGUGGGUCGUCAGGACGGUGGGAGCCAGGCCUACAGGUGGCAGCUGUGGGGGGCACAGGCCCUCCCUGAACAUCACUGCUGUGCUGUCUCUGGCCUCUGGGCGCCGGCCACACCUGCUGCCGGGCGGACACCUGCUGCUGUGGUCCUCGCGCUGACCACAGCCCCACGUCACAGAGGCCACCAGUUCAUGUGGCGGAACCGGUCGCGCACAUCUGCUCUCACGCCUGUAAGGACUCGCAUUUCUCACCUUCGGGAUGCUGCGCAGGGGGAAGCAGUAACAGCUCGUCCUCUAGCUGACCGCCACCUUGCAGGCACCCAGAGCAGGUCCUGGGAGACCAGACACCGUGCUGAAAUUAGCUGCGCUAACUGGGCUGCUGGUGAGACCAACGGGCUGGUUGCUGGCCUAGAAACGGCUGCCGCAGGCCCCACUGCCAGGCUCCUACCACGCGGGCGGGCGGGUGGGCAGUGUGGGCCGGGCCUCUGGGGGACGCGGCAGGCAUAGUGAGACUGCGGCAGGAAGUCAAAGACUGGUGCGUGUGGGGUGCCCUGAUCCCUUCUGGGUGGGACCCUGAAGAGGGCCCAGGGAGGAGGGGGGAGGAAACACCCCCACCAGACAGGGACCCGCCGUCUAGUGUUGUCCCCGAUACCACCGUGACCUGUGGGCUCUCUACUGGUAGAGGCCAGAGCUGGGGCUGGUCUCCAUCACUGGGCCACUGAUGCACAGGCAUGUUGGCAACUCUGGGCCAUGGGCACACUCGGGUCCUGAGACCAGGCUCCUCAGAGAGCAAGACACGGCUCUGGGCAGAUGGCCGGCCUGCACGUGGGCACCAUGAGGCCCGAGGCGAGACCGCCGAGUGCCAGUGUGCGGCUCUGCCUCAGACUUCUGGGGGGGUCAGACCCCCCCACAACCCUCCCAAGGCCACAGACACGUCCUAAGGGGGUGAGACCACAGGACAAGCGGUCAACGCUGCAGGGCCUGGGCUGGCGGGGGGAAGGCCUGUCAACGUUCUGUCCCAGGGGAGGGCAUGGGACCCAUGGGCUUACAACAGGCACGGCGACGGUGGCCCUGGCAGCCCCAUGGGGACAUGCCGACUUGUUUCCUGCCCCGGGGAUGACUGGCAGUGGUAAAUGCCAGGACUGGAAAGCCAGCACAGAGCCUCUGAUUUUACUCUGUUAAGCAGAGCUCACGGAACACCGGCCUGUACGUAACCUCUGCAAGCUCGGAAGCGACAGUCGUAAAUAACUUAGGCUCGCUCAGACUGUUCUGUGCAAACCUAUAAGACGCGGUUCCGGGGAAGCCACGGGCAGGAGGGUGGAUGUCAUCUGCAACACCUCUUGAGUCCGUCUCAGGGAAGCGGCUCAUUCUGGCAGCUCUGUGGCCAGGGAACCAAUGCCAGGCCCUCGUCUGCAGCUGACCCAAGUCCUCGAGGUGUCUUUCAGGGCAAAGCGAGAGACUAGUAAAGCAGUUUCUUUUCUUUUUUUAAAAUAUAUAUCUAUUUUAAGUUUAUUUAUUUACCUUGAGAGAGUGAGCUGGCAAGCAAGGAGGGGAGGGGCAGAGAGGGAGUGGGAGAGAGAAUCCCAAGUAGGCUCCACACUGGCAGCACAGAGCUGGGCGUAGGGUUCAAACUCAUAAACCAUGAGAUUGGGGCCUGAACCGAAACCAAAAGUCACAUGCUUAGCCCACUGAGCCACCCAGGCGCCCAACAGUAAAGCAGUUUCUGAAUGUCAAGCAAAGUUAGGGUAGUUGUCUAAAACAGACAAAUCUGCCGAGCUGCAGGUGAUCCCAUCUCGGGAAGGCCCGUGGAGGGGAGCCUGUGAUACAUGGUGGGUGCAGGGGAGGCCUGCCGUGUCACUGGCUCAGGCCGCCCACUGUCCCAUUUUGCACCGGCCCCACAGGCCCCCCUGGGUGUCAGAGCUGUCUCCCCUCCAGCGGACGCUUACUCUGAGACGAGGUCAAGUAACUUUGCCCGGUCACCUGUGGAGUGAAGGGGCAUCUCAGAGCUGGCCCAGCACCAUCCUCUCCGCCAGGGCCAGCAGCCAAGGCCAGACCCAGGGGACAAGUCCUUGGGAGAGGGUCCUGCCGUGCUGAGACCCCCUGCGUGUGGUUCACAUCACCUCAUCCCUGCUGAGAGAUGGAACGUGGGCAGGUGCCACCUACUGGCUCAGGCCUCCCGCUACCAGACAGGCUGGAGGGUGCCAGUGGCCUGGACUGUGGCCCCCAAGUGUGGGGACAGGCACAGCAGCUUGCAUACAGUGGGGCCUAGGUCUGCCACUUGUGCAGGCUCAGGAUACUUUGGCAUGCGGCUGGUUCUGGUCUGACUGCACCUACAGGCUGCGUGGGGUCACUGCUUGAUGAGGCUAGUGCCAUUUGGGGGGGGGUCCCACCCAGUGCAUCAUCAGCAAGUGUAUUGGUCUGCACCCCCAGACAUGCACCAUAAAGGGGGGGGGGGAUAUACGCAUUGGGCCACCGGGCCAUCUGGUGCGUAGGGGCACAGGCUGCUCUGAGGGCUGGCCGUGCUGCAGUGACUGCUGGCCUGACCCCAGUUCCAGGCAACAGGGGUGGUGGCACCACAGCAGCAGUGUGGAUGCAGGCACGCGGACAGGGCUGGGGCUGAAUGGAGGGCCCCUUGCGCUCUAUGCUUAGCAGCUGACACCCCCCACACAGCUCCUGAAGCAGGCACAGACCUCUGCCCCUGCACCGGGAGCCACCCCACGCGGUGACAGUGGCCCGAUGGCCAAGUCAACAAGGUGUGCCUCUGGUACUUGCGGUGCCAGGUGAUCGUGCCCACCACUGAAGGCGGUGUUAUGCCAGAGGCCUUUUAGAAACAGCUUCAGGGCCCAGUUCUUCCUCCCAGAGCAAAAGGAGGAGACACCUCAGGGGACGUCACUCUGCUCCCUCCCCCCGCAGGCCUCACCCCAAAGGCGAGGAUGUCUAGCAGCCAGGGCAGCUCCCCGAGCGGCAUGCGGACAGUGGCCUGGAGGCAGAGGACGCAGGUCUCCAAAGCCCAGCUGACAGACAGAUGGUGUCCAUGAAUACGUAGAGGGGGCAGUGAGGGCAAAGUGAGGCUGUGCACUGUGUGAGGGGUGCCCUACACAAACCGUCCACGCCGGAGAAGAGUCUGGGGUCAGAGAAGGCUGUCGUUGUGCCCCUGCAAGAUUCUCUGGCCACACGCACGGUAUGUGUCAAGGCCGCAACGCAUCAGGGAGCCAUUCAGAGAGAAGCCAGGCCCACGCAAUGGGGAUGGAGCCCACACAGGCUGUCUGCUGCCCUGGGGCCAUGUGGAGAGGGGGUGGUCACAGGUCGGGCCAGCCGGGCAGUUGCAUCUGAUGCUGUGCAGGCGGGUGUUCAGAAGGGUGUGGGUGGGGGGCAGCUCACAGGCAAGUCCCCACCAAAUGCGGAGGUGCAGGGUGGGCGCAGAAUCCCCAGGAGGGGAAGAGUCAGCACAGGCGCCUGGUGUUCUGGGACCAUCCAGGACGCCGUUACGCCGUCUAUCUGCAGCAAGUCGUGGCACCCAGGAAGCCGUCUGGUCCUCCUGAGGACUCCCAAGUGCAGGAACUGUGGCCGAAGCCCCACAAAGCUGCCUGGGGAGGAGACCUAAGACCCAGGGGUGGAUGUGAUGCUAGCCAUUUACCGGUCUCGUGACCACAGACACCCCUCAGCCACAGGCACACGGUGGAAGGCAGCGGGAGGCACAGCACUCGGGGCGACAGUGGCCGCCAGCCUCCCAGUGUCCUGGCACUGUCCUGAGUCAGUCACUUGUAGCACUACUUUAUGAACGUGCUCAGGGCCCUUAUUGCCUCUAGGACCCACCCAGCUCUCCAGCCUGGUAGAGGUACCUGUCACCUACUUUACAUCCAGGGUGAAACCACACAGAGAGCACAAGCAGAACCCCCAGGAUAACGCCAUCCUGGUGCAUCCUGGUGAUCAGCUACAAAACCCUAGUGGUUAUAAAAUAAACACUACCCUUAAUGGAAAAGGCCAACGGUUGCACCACAUACUGGAAGGUUUCACCAGGACGGAGUUCCUGAAGCUCACGUCCACGCCUGUCUCGCCAUCGCUGAUCCAGGACCAUGUCUUCGCUGGUCCCCGGGCGUCGGCAUCAAAGCCGGAGCAUCUCUGGGGAUCCAGCCAGGCGGCAAACCUGGUCCCUGCGAACAGUCACGCCGGCUCACCGACCAACGCCGCCCACGGUCCCCCAGAGGGGUCCGAACGGGCCGGGGCUGAGAGACCAGCUCUCCCUGGGAGCACUUGUUAGGAGCACAGCGUCCUCAGCCCCUCACCGCUUCCCCGCCUCCGAUCCUCCAGGCACAGAACCUGAGGGCAAACAGAUGUGCCCUGAGCACUUUCCCCAGGCCCGAGGCGGCUGCUCAUCUAAACCUCUACAAACAUAAAAACAAUUCUUCGCUCAGAGGCCGUACAAAACCCUGCUCUUUUGGGACGAAGAGAAGGGACGAAAGCUGGAGGCGGAAGGGGACGCCAAAUGUCUGUGGUCCUGCCUUCGCUGCGGAGGCUUCGCUGAGCGGCCCCGGCUGCCCAGAAUGGGGGUCUCGGUCUGUGUCCCCGCGGCCACCCAGGAUCUGCCCCGGAAGGCCGGCCGGGCCCCAUCCUCGCCGUGCGGGUGCGCCCUCCAGGCUCUCGGGGGACCGCCUGGCACGGGCUCGACUUCCCUGUAGCCUCCCGCCCCACCGAACCAAACCCGCCGGACACCAACUUUCCACCCGUCCGGGUACUUCCGCCUUGGGAGGUCGCUUCCUGUUAGGUGCCGGAAGGGGCGGGUCACCGGAGCGUGGGGGAGGAGUCUAGAGCUACGGCAUGCAAGACGCAAGCAACCUGGAGCCUGGCGGCGACGGCGGCGGCCUGGAGCCGAGGCCGGGCGAGGUAUCAGGGGUCCGACUUUUGGAUUUUUUCCCUGGAGCCGCGUUUCCAACGUGGAAUUCCUCGGCCGGAAGGGUUUUCCAGGCCUGUGUUAACCCUAACUCGGCCAGUGGAUGAGCGAGUUGGGCUGUGAAACCCCGUGUAAACCGGGGCGUUGUUAGAGACAGAAGACGGCGCCUGGCGAGGACUCCCCUCAGGUCUCCUCCCGUCUCUUCUCCAGCAUCUCCCCAUUCAGGUCCCUCCCUCGCCCGCCUCCGGUCUCCUCUCCAGCAUCUCAUCACUCAGGAUCCCCCCAGGUGCCCCCUCGGCGUGUCCCCACUCGGGUCCCCCCCCUCCCCAGGUCUCCUCUCCAGCGUCCCCGUUUUCAGCCCCCCCCCCCCCAUGUCUCCCUUCAGCAUCUCCUCAGGUCUCUCCCCCUUCCUCCCCCCCAGGACUCCUCACCAGCGUCUCCCCCUAGGUUCCUUGCCCUGGGUCACCACCCUCAGCCCUCCCCACCCCAUAUUGUCCCUUUGCAAAGCAGCGGAAGCUCUUCCAGGCUAAAGGAGUGUUGUAUACAUCUGAGCAGGCCACGUACUUACUGUUCAAAAGGAAUCUUCGGAAGGUCUGUUAGAGCUUGACAUCAGGGGCUUAGGUGUACAAAAGUCCCAGGCUGGAAAGAUGGGUGACAGUAGGCAAAGGUGGUCUUCCAGUGGGACUCGGUCCAAGGACUUCAGGCUAUGUCCCCAGUGGCGUCGUGGCUCUGGACCCUGAUGAGGGAAGGCGUGAUGGCAGGUUUGAAGGCGAGUGGGGAGGGGUGGCCUGGAGACAGACCGCAGCCCAGUUGAGGCACAGGAAGAGAGCUGUGACGUCUGGCAUUCCCGCGAAGCUUGGUGUCCCACGUCUGUUCUGGCCCCACCGCUGUCUGUGCCACAUUUGUGCUACUGGGUCGCUACGGGGUCGGUUGCUCAGGGUGGCCCUACCACUGCCCUAUCCUGCUGGGCCUCCGAGUUCCGGCCUUAAGACUACUUCUCAUCCCUUCCUGUUGGCCGUGUGCUCGUGCAUUCCCUCCUUGCCUCCCCGAGUCCUCUGGACCCGGGCCUGCGUGGGGUGUGGGGUGUGCAGGUGGGAACCUUGUCUAGCCGGUUGCAAACAAACCAGCGGCAGCACACUCUGCAGAACCCGGAGGACCCCCAGUAGAACCUUGGGCCAAGGUUCCGCGGGGCUGGACGUUGGGGGGAAGACCUUGUCAGGACAGAAUUUGAUUAUACAUCUAUCAGCACCCCAAAAAGGCACUAGUCAGGAUCUUUCCAUGACACCCAUUUAUCUUGGAAAACAGAAGCCCGGUGACUCUGCGCGUUGGAUGGAAUAAGGCACCAGGCGGCCGCAUCAUCCGUCAGCAGGCUGGGCCCUGUGCGCGCGCCCCUGUCCGGUCCUCGCCGCUAGGUGGCGCCGCAGGUGCGCGAGCUGCCCCUUUCACUCCUGCUGAGGCCCAGAUUAUUUGAGAUUCCUAGAAGUCACCGUCUCAAGAAACCCCGAGAAGGAUGGCAAGCACUGGCCCCUGGGGCGGGGGAGGCUCUUUGGCUUGCUGCUGAGACGCCUGGGGGCUGCUCCCAGAGAGACCAGUGGAGGAGCAAAGUGAUGGGGAUUGACGCCCAGCCUCCGGUGACUCGAUCAAUCGCGCUUCUAGAAUGCAGAAAAGCCCAUGGGUCGGGCUCCAGAGAAAAUACACACAAAGAAGAGAAGUGAAUUUGGAUCUCACCAGGCAGCUUUCGGGCUCCGGCUGCCUGGGCCAUGGCCAGUGGGAGCCUGUCCUGGGGGCGUCCUUCCUUGUUGUCCGGGACUCCGGUGUUGAGAUCCUCCGCCCGUCCCCUCUGUCCUGGUGCCUCUGGCAGACGCGGAUUUGAGAAAGUACACGCUUCCGUGGGUGCCUACAUCCACCACCGCUCCCACCAGAGCCAUGAGUUCGCUGAUGCCUCGGCUCCACCGCGUCCACAGGCUCGUUUGGGUUUUCCGUGUCGGAGCCUGUGGCUCCUGUCUCCACAGCGCGGAUCCCCCGUGCUGCUCAGAGCCCUGCUGCCACAAUGCCCGUGUGACUGCCAGUCCGGGGGCGGGGGCGGGGGGACCUCGUGCCCACCCUCUGUGGCUUUAGGGUUGCUCCUUCUGGGAAGGGCAGAGCGGUCUGCCCUGGCCUCCGCUCAGGGCCAGCAGGGAGGUGGAGGGGAGCCUGGUUCCACCACCAGCUCUGGGUAUGGUCGUGUCCACCCACAUCCCCUCGGGACGGGGGCUGAGACGCCGGCUGUCCCGUUGGAGCCAGGUCGCGGCUGUGAAGACGCAUGGGGCACCUGGUGAGCCCUUGUGGCUGGGGUGCUGCGUGUGUUCACGUCUAGGACCGCAGAAUGAGCGGCGUUCGCCUGGGCGUCGGCUUCCGCUCCUGCAGCUGCGUGAUGCCCACCCCGAGGCCGCCGGCCUGCACACCCGUGAGACCCUCGGGCUGACACGGCUACUCCUGCUCCGCUGUGCCGGCAGCCACUGCGGCCACUGGGACGCGUGCCGGUCACUGUCCUCUGCUCUCUGGUCACCACACGCCCCGUCCCCGGUGCUGUGAGUGGCGGACCCGCAUCUGUAGCUCUUCUGAGCUUCUGGUGCCUCCUGCGCGUUUCCUUCGUGGAGCCUCCUGCGUGUCCUGGCGACCGGUGGAAAUCAUGUUUGCACUGAACAAGCCAGAGGUGGUUUCUCGCUACAGCAGGAGGGACCCGUUCCACAUCCUGUGACAGGGACGGAGGAGGGGGUGUCCCUGGCCAAUGGAGGGCUCGUGGACGCUGGGCCCACUGUGGACUGAGGAAUUUCUGUUUGUCUUUAGGGUCUUAUUACCUUCCUGGGCUGCCCUAACGAAGCCACAGACUCAGGGCUCAAACCGCAGGCAUCCCUCUCAGCCUGCAGGCUGUAAGCCCUAAACUGAGGUGUCGCGGGGCCGUGCUGCCUUUGGGGGGGCACCCUGUGCAUCUUCCAGCCUCUGGUGGUGCCAGACAUACUCGCCGUCCCUUGGUUGGUGGAUGCGUCACCCCCUCUCUGCCUCCAGGGGCACACGGCGUUGCUCUCUUGUUGGGAUGGGACUCACCGACUCCAGCUGGUCACCGACUCCCUCUUACUGAUGGUGCCUGCAGUGGCCCUGUUUCCAACCCCAGGACGCCGUGGGGAUUGCACAGCAUCGGUGUGUCCGGAGCUGCUGGGCUCUUCUCAGUGGCUGUGUGAGAAGCCGUCGGGAGACUUUCAGGACGUAAUCACAAAGGCCGGAACGAGCAGAAGGCACCCUCACAGACCAAGCGUGAUCUGAGUUCCUGCCGGGGAGCACCUGGGCCCAGGACAUGGGAGUCGCCCAAACGUUCACGUGUUCCUGCGUUUGCUUUCUCCUUCUCACACCUGAAUCUGCAGAGUGGAAUAUGUCGGGCUGUGUUCCCCACACCAGGCUGUGCUGCCGCCGGGGCGGCCGUUCGUGUUGCUGCAACGAUACGUGGUCUCUAUUCUGCAGUCUGCAUUCACAGGUCUUCAGUUCUCUGUCCCGGGAAGGACUCCCACUUCUCCUGGGGGCCUUUCCGAGUACCUCACCUUCUUGCUUGCCAUCGUUGCCGGGGUCCCUCUGCCAUUCCAUCCUCCAACUGGUGACUUCGUGCAGCUAUGAGGACUUUUGGUUUUUGUGUGUUAGUUUUAGCCUUACUGAGUUCGUUUAUCCUUUGAGUCUGUUUCCUCCCUGUUGAUGGCCUGGUGUCACGCUCGCUGCCCGGUCGGGAGUCCCAUGUGGCUAAGCUCGUGUGUACAGAUGAGAUGAAAUGAGACCAAAGGCUCACGAUGCCGCCACAUUCGCCCCAUUUCCAGUGCUUGGCGGCCGCACGGGCUUGGCGGGUUUCCGACACUGAGCUUGUGGGACAUCCCUUCAUCGUGAAAAGUUUACUGCAUAUUACUGUUCCAGCGUUUUCCAGGUACAUCAGUGUAGCCUUUGCAAAUGGACACAGCUGGCUUUGGGCUCUGUUCUUGGGUCCCUGACGGGUUCCCCGUGUCUGACUGCAGCGGCUGAGGCCUCCAGGGCCGGGCUGGCGGGCGGUGAAGGCAAGCAUAGUCCUCAUCUUGCCCCUAAUGACACCAGCGUCUGCUUCAGUGAGGUGGAGACUUUAGAAAAGGCUAUGUUACUAUGUUAAGAAAGCGGCUGUCACUUCCUAUUUUCCUUACUGUUUGUACUUUUAUCAGGAAUGGGUGUUAAAUUUUGCCAGAGGCUUUUUGUGCACCUAUGGGGGGAAAGCAUGUGAUUUUUCUCUUCGGGUCUGUCAAGAGUGACUUUCACAAACGGAUUUCCCAGCAACCAGGCGGCCGUGGCAUCUGGGCGUCAGUCCCGCACGUGGUCACCAUGUCUGUCUUCCCACCCAUUGCACCUUCCAGUAGGGUCUGGGGGUCAGAGUUCCUGUUGCAGUGGGGCUCUGCCGGCUGGCCUUCCAGGAGGGGGCUGGGGUCAGCACUCCUGGGCGGGGGGGGGGGGGGCUCCACCGGCGGGCACAGUUUAGCGUGUGCCCCUCCGAUUCAGGGCGCCGGAACAACUGGGCAAGCUGUGACCAUCUGGUCCCUAGCCAUGCGGUGGAGUUCAUCUGUGGAGUCAUUAGGGCCCGUUUUUGUUGGGGGCUGCGGUUCGCUGGAGGCUUUUUUCUUCCGUGGAACCGGUGUGGUUAGGGUCCCGCCCCCCACUGUAGCCGCUUCAUCUGGAAAUUCGCAUUUAUUGCGCUCCGCAUGAAAUGUCACUACGGCAUAGUUAUUCUAUGUCAUUUAUUCCUAGCAGGGCCAGAACUCGAGCCUCCUCUGCCACCCGGCGCCCGGCGCUUCCUGGGCCCUUGCGGGUGGGCGAGAGGCAGACUCCGCCUGCAGUCUACACAGGCCGAGCCGAGCAACCGCGGCUCGAGAGGCACACGGGGUUCGCGGGGAGACCAGCUCGGCUCUGCUCGCUCUCCACUCGGCCUCGUGCCGGGCAGGGUGGCCUCGGGAACGCGGGUGGCCGCAGCGGAGCUUCCUGGGGAGGGGAGACGGCUGUGCCCAGGCACAGCCACAGGCCACUGCCACCGACAGCGCAUCUCUCGCGGCCGCACGGCGCUGCCUGCUGGAGGUUGUGCGCAGGCGCAGCUGCAGGCUCCCGCUGUUGGCUGCGAGUCUCCUCCGUUGCGCAGCCGCACUGUCCGCACGCCGCCGCCUGCUCGAGGCCGUGCGCAGGCGCAGCUGCAGGCCUUGCAGUUGGCCUCGAGUCUCCUCCGUCGCGCAGCCGCACUGUGCGCACGCUGCCGCCUGCUCCAGGCUGUGCGCAGGCGCAGCGUUGGCGGUCUGGCAGCAGGAGGCGUGGAGUCGGCUCAGAUGGCGCCUCCUUGGCUCCUGAGCAGAAGCCAGGGGCCCACGGUGGAAAUUCGCGGACUCUACGCUGCCGGGCGUCGGGCCGUCUCUCGGAGAAGAGGAGCGUGAGUAGGGGUCCGCCGGGAAGGGCAGCGUGUCCUAGAGCCCCGUGAGCGGGGAUGAGGCAGGUGGGGCGGCCGGGCGGGGCAGCUGGAGCCCU
Acinonyx jubatus (cheetah) is the source of this 10937-nucleotide long non-coding RNA. RefSeq lists it as uncharacterized. The record is from RefSeq and is a predicted model, not a curated record. The transcript is spliced from 8 exons. Lineage: Eukaryota; Metazoa; Chordata; Mammalia; Carnivora; Felidae.